Long non-coding RNA from Protopterus annectens (West African lungfish), 1115 nucleotides. RefSeq lists it as uncharacterized. The record is from RefSeq and is a predicted model, not a curated record. Lineage: Eukaryota; Metazoa; Chordata; Ceratodontiformes; Protopteridae. The transcript has 3 exons.
UCAAAGCUGUGUACAUCAACAAAGCAGUGGAAUCAGGGAAACAACGUGGAAGAACUCCAUGGCGCUUUUAUAUCAAGACAUUAUUUAAAAAAAGUAACAAAGCUAACAUCCAGCAGACCACCACCACCACUAACCAAGGAUGCAGAACGUUAAGGUACACCGAAGGCAUAGAACAAAAGACUGGACAUGCUCAGAAUGGAAAAUAAUUGCGGUAUUAAUGAACUCUAAUAGGGCUUAACUGACUUCUACUGCAACACUUCAAGAAAGAAAUGUGGACACCGACCAACAACUGCUCAGCUUCUUAGAAGUGCAGUCACUGAACAAACCUUGUUUUUAAGAAAGAAGUACAUCAACUGACGAACAUCUGCUUAGCCUCCAAAAUAGAUAUCUACUAAACUAAACUAACCACCGACCUCACUGGAAAUUCCAAAACCCAGUACACCUCUUAUAAACUCAGAAUGGAAGAUGAUGUGAAAGUUUAUUUGGUAAAAUUUGAGCAGGUGUUAAUAGAACAACUGGUUCCAAAACUGAUUUAGCUAGGAUGCUGUCAAGUGUAACCAGAGACUCCAAACCAGUACAAUUUGUCCUCAGCAAGAUAAAGUAAUGCACUAGCAAGUAAUAUUUUGUUUAAAAACAGUUGUUUUAUAGACUUUCAUCCAAAAAUGCAAGACUUCUUCAGAACUAAACAUGUUGUAACAGAUAUUUUUAAAUACUAAGUUUUCAUGUGAUUUUAAUACAAGUCAUGUAAUAUAAAACAUUAAUUCUUAGAGACCAGCAAACAAAUGAGUAAAACCUACUUCAACGCAUAAAAUAAUGUUUAAAAUUCCAUAUUAUAAACAUUCACUUGUACUAAAAAUAAUAAAAGUAAAUUUUAUUUCUUAUGCUGAAAAGGUAACCAUAAAAGAACUGCAUGUUUGUUACAGUUUGGCUGCCCUCAUAAUUAAAACAGAAUCCAAGACCAUACAGUCAUUUACACCUGUGUGACAUGUUGAGUUCAACCUAAUCAGCCAGAGAAUCUCAUUUAUAUGCAAGAGUGUUUUCCCAUGAGCUAGUACUGCAAUGUAAAGAUACCAUGUCCACCAUAAAGAAAUGUAUAUUAAAAGUUUUGCACAUAA